RNAcentral lists this unclassified non-coding RNA (352 nucleotides) under Hevea brasiliensis (rubber tree). The record is from RNAcentral. Lineage: Eukaryota; Viridiplantae; Streptophyta; Magnoliopsida; Malpighiales; Euphorbiaceae.
AGAAAAAAUGAUUGACAUUCUUUCAGAAUAUCCAUAAGUAACCCUAAUGCCUAAUUGAAAUUCUGAUUUCACAAUACAAAAAAAAUUUUUGUUAAAUGCAUUAUUAGAAUCUUAGUCUAUAUAAAUAACUCAAUUUUAAUGCAGUUGAAUUCUUUAUGAAAAAUACAGUUUUUGGAAUGUAAAACCAAUAAGCUCUUAAUAACUAUAACAUGAAAUUUUAAAUAGCAUUUAUUUAAUAUUGCUAACAUCAUGAGCCUACAUUGAUUUUCAACAGUAUUUUGAAAUUUCUCCUUCAUAACAGACAUAAGGGAAACCGUUUCUCUCAUGCUCUACAUGUCAUUGGUUCUCCAUU